Molecule: ribosomal RNA, 462 nt
Filed under: uncultured bacterium
Lineage: Bacteria
Description: partial 16S ribosomal RNA
Rfam family: Bacterial small subunit ribosomal RNA
Source: RNAcentral
GACGAACGCUGGCGGCGUGCUUAACACAUGCAAGUCGAACGGAAAGGCCCUUCGGGGUACUCGAGUGGCGAACGGGUGAGUAACACGUGGGUGAUCUGCCCUGCACUUUGGGAUAAGCCUGGGAAACUGGGUCUAAUACCGAAUAGGACCACGCGCUUCAUGGUGUGUGGUGGAAAGCUUUUGCGGUGUGGGAUGGGCCCGCGGCCUAUCAGCUUGUUGGUGGGGUAAUGGCCUACCAAGGCGACGACGGGUAGCCGGCCUGAGAGGGUGACCGGCCACACUGGGACUGAGAUACGGCCCAGACUCCUACGGGAGGCAGCAGUGGGGAAUAUUGCACAAUGGGCGCAAGCCGGAUGCAGCGACGCCGCGUGAGGGAUGACGGCCUUCGGGUUGUAAACCUCUUUCACCAGGGACGAAGCGUAAGUGACGGUACCUGGAGAAGAAGCACCGGCCAACUACGUG